AACGAACGCUGGCGGCGUGCCUAACACAUGCAAGUCGUGCGAGAAAAGGGGGGCAACUCCCUGAGUAAAGCGGCGCACGGGUGAGUAACACGUAGGUAACCUACCCCCGAGCCCGGGAUAACCUACCGAAAGGUGGGCUAAUACUGGAUAUGACCACGGGAACUUCGGCUCCCGCGGUGAAAGGUGGCCUCUGCUUGCAAAGCUACCACUCGAGGACGGGCCUGCGCGCCAUUAGCUAGUUGGGGGGUAAUGGCUCACCAAGGCGAAUGAUGGCUAGC
This 278-nucleotide ribosomal RNA is filed under the name uncultured bacterium. Its description in RNAcentral is "partial 16S ribosomal RNA". It matches the Rfam family "Bacterial small subunit ribosomal RNA", at positions 29 to 287 of the family's 1533-position model. The record is from RNAcentral.